This 2217-nucleotide ribosomal RNA is filed under the name human metagenome. RNAcentral describes it as "bacterial LSU rRNA". It matches the Rfam family "Bacterial large subunit ribosomal RNA", at positions 500 to 2558 of the family's 2925-position model. The record is from RNAcentral.
ACCGUGAGGGAAUGGUGAAAAGUACCCCGGGAGGGGAGUGAAAUAGUACCUGAAACCGUGUGCCUGUAAGCCGUCAGAGCCUUGUGGGGUGAUGGCGUGCCUUUUGAAGAAUGAGCCUGCGAGUUAGUGAUACGUGGCGUGCUUAACCCGUGUGGGGUAUGCGUAGCGAAAGCGAGUCUGAAAUAUGGCGUUGGUCGCGUGUUCUAGACCCGAAGCGGGGUGAUCUACCCAUGGUCAGGUUGAAGCAGAGGUAAGACUGUGUGGAGGACCGAACCCACCAGGGUUGAAAACCUGGGGGAUGAACUGUGGGUAGGGGUGAAAGGCCAAUCAAACUCCGUGAUAGCUGGUUCUCCCCGAAAUGCAUUUAGGUGCAGCGUUGCGUGGUCCCUGGUGGAGGUAGAGCUACUGGAUGGCCGAUGGGCCCUGUGGGUUACUGACGUCAGCCAAACUCCGAAUGCCAUUAGGUGUAGCGUGGCAGUGAGACUGCGGGGGAUAAGCUUCGUAGUCGAGAGGGAAACAGCCCAGAUCAUCAGCUAAGGCCCCUAAGCGUGCGCUAAGUGGGAAAGGAUGUGGAGUCGCGGUGACAACCAGGAGGUUGGCUUAGAAGCAGCCAUCCUUGAAAGAGUGCGUAAUAGCUCACUGGUCAAGUGGUUCUGCGCCGACAAUGUAGCGGGGCUCAAGCGUACCGCCGAAGCUGUGGCAGCAACACGUAUGGCUGGCGCCAGUUUAUUGGUUGUUGGUGUGUUGUUGGGUAGGGGAGCGUCCUGCAUGAGGUGAAGCCUGGAGGUGACUUCUGGUGGAUUGUGUGGGAGUGAGAAUGCAGGCAUGAGUAACGAAUCUGCGGUGAGAAUCCGCAGCGCCGAUUGACUAAGGGUUCCAGGGCUAGGUUUAUCCGCCCUGGGUUAGUCGGGUCCUAAGGCGAGGCCGACAGGCGUAGUCGAUGGACAACCAGUUGAUAUUCUGGUACCAGGUUGUGACCGCCCAUGCUGAGGUCAUUGUGCUAACCAAUUUGCCCGCGCCUCUGCAUGACCUUCGGGUUGCGUGGUGUGUGUGGGUCUUGGGGUCCCGGUGAUGGUAGGCAAGCGUGUUAACAGGGGUGACGCAGACAGGUAACUGCAGUGCGCCGAUGGUUGUGCGUAUUUAAGGUUGUGGCCCGCCCUUUAGGUAAAUCCGGGGGGCACUAGGGUGAGGACUGAUGAGGGACACGCGUGUGUGUGGACUUGUGGUGAUCCUAUGCUGCCGAGAAAAGCCUCGACGUGAGGGCAUGACGCGCCCGUACCCUAAACCGACUCAGGUGGUCAGGUAGAGUAUACCGAGGCGUUCGAGUGAAUCGUGGUUAAGGAACUCGGCAAAAUUCCUCCGUAACUUCGGGAUAAGGAGGACCCCGUGACUUCCCAAUGCUUUGCGUGUUGGUGGGGUUGUGGGGUCGCAGAGAAUAGGGAGAAGCGACUGUUUAUCAAAAACACAGGUGCGUGCGAAGCCGUAAGGCGAUGUAUACGCACUGACGCCUGCCCGGUGCUGGAAGGUUAAGAGGAACUGUUAACAUUCUUUGUGGGUGUGAAGCGGUGAAUUUAAGCCCCAGUAAACGGCGGUGGUAACUAUAACCAUCCUAAGGUAGCGAAAUUCCUUGUCGGGUAAGUUCCGACCUGCACGAAUGGCGUAACGACUUCUCCGCUGUCUCAACCGCGAACUCGGUGAAAUUGCAGUACGAGUAAAGAUGCUCGUUUCGCGCAGAAGGACGGAAAGACCCCGGGACCUUUACUAUAGCUUGGUAUUGGUGUUCGCUUGGACUUGUGUAGGAUAGGUGGGAGACUGUGAAGCUGCCGCGCCAGCGGUGGUGGAGUCGUCGUUGAAAUACCAUUCUGGUUUAAGCGGUCACCUUAACCUUGGCCCGUGAUCCGGGUUGGGGACAGUGCCUGGUGGGUAGUUUAACUGGGGCGGUUGCCUCCUAAAAUGUAACGGAGGCGCUCAAAGGUUCCCUCAGCCUGGUUGGUAAUCAGGUGGCGAGUGCAAGUGUACAAGGGAGCUUGACUGUGAGACCGACGGGUCGAGCAGGUGCGAAAGCAGGAACUAGUGAUCCGGCCAUGGCACGUGGGUGCGUGGUCGCUCAACGGAUAAAAGGUACCCCGGGGAUAACAGGCUGAUCUUGCCCAAGAGUCCAUAUCGACGGCAUGGUUUGGCACCUCGAUGUCGGCUCGUCGCAUCCUGGGGCUGGAG